Molecule: non-coding RNA, 175 nt
Filed under: human gut metagenome
Description: 6S / SsrS RNA
Rfam family: 6S / SsrS RNA
About the family: E. coli 6S RNA was the first non coding RNA to be sequenced, but its function was unknown until recently.
Source: RNAcentral
UUCCCUGCGGUGUGCGUGUAACGGAUUAUUUUAACCAACACAUCAAAAAAGGAAUCCUAAUCUCUGAUUGUGGCUGUAGACCAAGCUCAGACUAGGGAACAUUUAAGCAGUCAGGAGGAAUCCACCUGCGUAGCAGGUUUAAAAUAUAUCCUGAAAACACGGCUCGGCGGGGUAU